UUUGGACAGCCCGCCCUCCUCGCCAGCGGAUACUGUUUCUGGUGCUGAUAUACCUAUUGCCCCUUCCCCUGCGCCCCAUAGAUUUGCGCCCGCCUAUGGCACCCUUGCCAUGCUCGGCGAAGACGGCGAGGUCCGGCCGCUUGAGGAGAUGGAGGCUGAGAGCAUCCGCUUCGCCAUCGCUCAUUAUCGCGGGCAGAUGUCCGAGGUUGCACGGCGGCUGAAGAUCGGCCGCUCGACGCUGUACCGGAAAAUCGACGAGGCUGCGGCCUCCGGCAGGGAACCUGUCGACCCCACGCGCUGACGCGCGAAUCACUGUCCUAUGGAACGAAACCACGGCUUUUUCGCUUCUCUCAUUGAACCGUUGCGGUCCGGUGACAGACGGAGGAAAAGCGCGCGGCAAUGCGCGCAAAUCGUUGCAAGAAAUGCCGAAUUGAAGUCAUUUCUCUGGAGUUGACUUCGAGUUGAUCCGGCGGCGACUGGCCGCUUUAAGCUGGCGCGUGUACCGUUUCGCAGUGUUUUCAAUGCGGGAUUGCGUAGCAAAGUCCGAUCAAGCCGGCGCUUUUGCAA
Molecule: unclassified non-coding RNA, 567 nt
Filed under: Hevea brasiliensis (rubber tree)
Lineage: Eukaryota; Viridiplantae; Streptophyta; Magnoliopsida; Malpighiales; Euphorbiaceae
Source: RNAcentral